UUCUUUUACGUCAUUUACGAGAAUUUUCAAUUUUGUUUUAUCAAAAAUUUCUAAUUGAAUAUUUGAUGUUGCACAUAAACUGACCGUGAUACAUGUGCUUGUUCUGUAUAUAGAUUUGUUGAAAUAACACUAGAGUAUGCUACCAAUGUUACGGAUCACGGUCUCCAAGCAAUUGGUAAAGGAUGCAAAGAAUUAAAACAUCUUGAAAUACUAAACUGUCCUGUUAGUAAAACAGGUCUUAUAGAAGCAGGCGAGAGCUCUUCUUCCAUUAGAUAUCUUUACGCAUCAGGUAAUAAAGAUGGAAAGGAAGGAGGAGUGCAAUCUUUUGCACAAAAUAAUGAUAAUAUAUUUUCUUUUCAUUUGUUGUUAAGAUUCUCCGAGAUCUUCUCGAGAUCUUUUUUGGAAAUACGAUAAGAUAGGCUGAAUAAUUCUUAUUCUGAAAUUUUUUGGUAAUGCGAAACCUUUGUUUUAUAUGUUCAAGAAGAAAAGAAAUAUUAAGAAUU
This 503-nucleotide small RNA is filed under the name Arabidopsis thaliana (thale cress). RNAcentral describes it as "ATSL183930". Lineage: Eukaryota; Viridiplantae; Streptophyta; Magnoliopsida; Brassicales; Brassicaceae. The record is from RNAcentral.